Non-coding RNA from Podospora fimiseda, 112 nucleotides. The record is from the annotation of a GenBank genome assembly. NCBI's taxonomy places the organism in Eukaryota, Fungi, Ascomycota, Sordariomycetes, Sordariales, Podosporaceae.
GCCCGAUUAGCUCAGCUGGUUAGAGCGUCGUACUAAUAGCGUUUCUUUCUGUGAGAAAUCAUAUUUGGUAAUUCAAAUGUGAAGGUCAACAGUUCAAUCCUGUCAUUGGGCA